AUUGAAUUGAAAUCAAAUCAUAAUUAAAUUGAGAUUGAGAGGAUUUUAUGAUCUAGGAUCAGACCCUGUAAUCUAAUUUCAGACUCUUGAUUUCAGAAAUCGAAAUCAAAUUAAAUCGAUCAGCUGGUUUUGUAUACCCUUACCCAGUAACACGAAGGGGCAAAAUUGGCAACUUGAAAUUGGGAGUGGCAGUUCCUUCCUUUCCAUUAUAAAGCCAAAAUGCUUUGAAGAAGUUUGGCAGGUGCUUUUAGAUUCUGAAAAACUGAAAAAAACAUUUUUCAGUAAUAAGAAGGUAAGGUAACGCAUAUCUAACUCGCAAGCAAGUCUUCUACCUUCCUGAACCUCAACCUGUUCUUAGUAAAGAUGGUACUGGAAAGCGCGGACACUUCUUGUUUUUUGUUAGAUUUCGUCCAGAAGUGCGGUGGCUACGCCUUAGUUGAUGGCGGCUUUGCCACUGAACUCGAACGACACGGUGCUGACCUCAACGACCCUCUAUGGAGCGCCAAAUGCCUUAUCAGCUCCCCUCAUCUCGUCCGAAGGGUACACCUCGAUUAUCUUGACGCUGGGGCAAAUAUCAUAUUAACAGCAUCUUAUCAGGCUACUAUUCAGGGUUUUGAGGCCAAAGGGUUAUCCACAGAAGAAGCAGAAUCAUUACUUCGAAGAAGUGUCGAAAUUGCCUGCGAGGCAAGGGAAAUUUAUCAUGACAAUUGUACCAAAGCUUCUUGGGAUUUUGUGGAACGUGGAAAUAUAGCAAGGCGUCCAGUUCUGGUCGCUGCUUCCAUUGGCAGCUACGGGGCUUAUUUAGCUGAUGGCUCAGAGUAUAGUGGCAACUAUGGCGAUGCAGUUUCUCUCCAAACACUGAAGGAUUUUCACAGGAGAAGAUUACAGAUUCUGGCCAAAGCAGGAGCUGACUUGAUUGCAUUUGAGACGAUUCCAAAUAAGCUUGAAGCAAAGGCAUACGCUGAGUUGCUUGAAGAGGAAGGCAUAAAUAUUCCAGCAUGGUUUUCUUUCACUUCCAAGGAUGGAAUUAAUGUGGUUAGUGGUGAUUCUAUCUUGGAAUGUGCCUCUAUUGCAGAUACUUGCAGGCAAGUUGCCGCUGUUGGAAUCAACUGUACCCCUCCUAGAUUUAUCCAUGGACUUAUUCUCUCCAUUUGCAAGGUUACAAGCAAGCCGGUAGUCAUAUAUCCAAAUAGCGGUGAAACUUACAAUGCUGAGCGCAAGGAGUGGGUGAAAUCAAGUGGAGUAUCAGAUGAAGAUUUCGUUUCGUACGUAGGCAAGUGGCGCGAGGCUGGUGCUUCUCUUUUUGGUGGCUGCUGCAGGACUACUCCAAAUACUAUCAGAGCUAUAUCUGGGGUUCUCUCCAACAAAUCUUCACCCUCUUUAAGUGAUAAAAUGGAGAUGUGAAUGAUGUGAAACAGAGACUGAGGAUCCGAAUCUUAUAUCAACAAUGGCCUUGUAGCCCAAUGCCAUCUCUGUUUUUCAUGUCCUUAAGUGGAUGCAACUUAGUCCUAUCCUUUUAUAAAUGAAAUAAACAAAUUUCAAUUUUCUUUUCCAAAGGUUGAGAUGGUGAGAAAUCAAUAAUGUAUAGGAAAAUUUUCUGUUUGAGAUCUGUUAUUGAAAACAGUGGAGACAUCACCGUUAAUUUCAUCAGAGAUGAGAUUAUAAGUACAUUUGUAUAUUCAAACUAAACAAUGAAAUAUAAUGGUGAAACUUCAAUUUGUG
RNAcentral lists this unclassified non-coding RNA (1722 nucleotides) under Hevea brasiliensis (rubber tree). The record is from RNAcentral. Lineage: Eukaryota; Viridiplantae; Streptophyta; Magnoliopsida; Malpighiales; Euphorbiaceae.